CAGAAGAGGACAGUGGAACUCCAUGUGUAGCGGUGAAAUGCGUAGAUAUAUGGAAGAACACCAGUGGCGAAGGCGGCUGUCUGGUCUGUAACUGACGCUGAGGCUCGAAAGUAUGGGUAGCAAACAGGAUUAGAUACCCUGGUAGUCCAUACCGUAAACGAUGAAUGCUAAGUGUUGGAGGGUUUCCGCCCUUCAGUGCUGCAGCUAACGCAUUAAGCAUUCCGCCUGGGGAGUACGGCCGCAAGGCUGAAACUCAAAGGAAUUGACGGGGGCCCGCACAAGCGGUGGAGCAUGUGGUUUAAUUCGAAGCUACGCGAAGAACCUUACCAGGUCUUGACAUACUAUGCAAAUCUAAGAGAUUAGACGUUCCCUUCGGGGACAUGGAUACAGGUGGUGCAUGGUUGUCGUCAGCUCGUGUCGUGAGAUGUUGGGUUAAGUCCCGCAACGAGCGCAACCCUUAUUAUCAGUUGCCAGCAUUAAGUUGGGCACUCUGGUGAGACUGCCGGUGACAAACCGGAGGAAGGUGGGGAUGACGUCAAAUCAUCAUGCCCCUUAUGACCUGGGCUACACACGUGCUACAAUGGAUGGUACAACGAGUUGCGAACUCGCGAGAGUAAGCUAAUCUCUUAAAGCCAUUCUCAGUUCGGAUUGCAGGCUGCAACUCGCCUACAUGAAGUCGGAAUCGCUAGUAAUCGCGGAUCAGCAUGCCGCGGUGAAUACGUUCCCGGGCCUUGUACACACCGCCCGUCACACCAUGAGAGUUUGUAACACCCAAAGUCGGUGGGGUAACCUUUUAGGAACCAGCCGCCUAAGGUGGGACAGAUGAUUAGGGUGAAGUCGUAACAAGGUAGCCGUA
This 856-nucleotide ribosomal RNA is filed under the name uncultured bacterium. RNAcentral's name for it is "bacterial SSU rRNA". It matches the Rfam family "Bacterial small subunit ribosomal RNA", at positions 649 to 1504 of the family's 1533-position model. The record is from RNAcentral.